AAUGAAAACAUCCGAAUUUGAAAAAAAAAUCAGUCGUCCUGGUCCCUUUGCAGAAAAACAUCCCCAAAGCAUGAUGUUUCCACCCCCAUGCUUCACAGUAGGUAAGGUGUUCUUUGGAUGCAACCCAGCAUUCUUUCUCCUCCAAACACAACAAACUGUUUUUACCGAAAA
Thalassophryne amazonica is the source of this 171-nucleotide long non-coding RNA. RefSeq lists it as uncharacterized. The record is from RefSeq and is a predicted model, not a curated record. The transcript has 3 exons. Lineage: Eukaryota; Metazoa; Chordata; Actinopteri; Batrachoidiformes; Batrachoididae.